GGGAUUGUUAUAAGAUAAACACUAAUAUAUUGCAAAAUAUACUAGGAGGUUGUUGCAAAUAUUCACAACCUUUUUGCAUGUUGCACGAGUUGUAGAAGCAUACAUAUUUUUUUUUUCUCUGUACGAUUGCUGCAGUUUUAUGAAUGUUGCAGAUCUUUUCUGCUUGGCACGAUGGUCAACUUUGAGUUGUUACAAAUAUCCUUCGAAAGCCAUAGCUUUUUUUGGUCCAUUUUAAUCACCCUUUUGUAUCUACAAAUAGAUGCUUUUAC
RNAcentral lists this long non-coding RNA (269 nucleotides) under Vigna radiata. Its description in RNAcentral is "long non-coding RNA (VRAD_LNC010921)". Lineage: Eukaryota; Viridiplantae; Streptophyta; Magnoliopsida; Fabales; Fabaceae. The record is from RNAcentral.